RNAcentral lists this ribosomal RNA (402 nucleotides) under uncultured eukaryote. RNAcentral describes it as "SSU rRNA". It matches the Rfam family "Eukaryotic small subunit ribosomal RNA", at positions 587 to 972 of the family's 1831-position model. The record is from RNAcentral.
AGCUCCAGUAGCGUAUAUUAAAAUUGUUGCAGUUAAAAAGCUCGUAGUUGGAUUUCUGGUAUGUAUUGAUUUGAGUGAAUCUAAUUUCUUUUAUUGGGAAUUAUGUAUUGACUUGACCAUACCAUUGUUUUCUAUUAUGGUUGAUUGUAUGCAAAACAUACAAUGAACACAUAUAGAAUCUUUUACUUUGAAAAAAUUAGAGUGUUUAAAGCAGGCUUGAUAGCUAUGAAUACAUUAGCAUGGAAUAAUAAUUUAGGGCUUUUGUCCUUUUGUUGGUUUUCCUGGAUAAAAGUAAUGAUUGAUAGGGAUAGUUGGGGGUGCUCGUAUUUCGUCAACAGAGGUGAAAUUCUUGGACCGACGAAAGACGAACUUAUGCGAAAGCAUUCACCAAGGAUAUCUUCU